GUGCUCACCAGUAGCAUAUAUGUUAGAAUGGGAAUGGUGCAGAGAUUAGCAUGGCCCCGUGCAAGGAUGACACUCAGAUUCAGGAAGCAUUCCAUACUUCU
Small nuclear RNA from Cercocebus atys (sooty mangabey), 101 nucleotides. Lineage: Eukaryota; Metazoa; Chordata; Mammalia; Primates; Cercopithecidae. The record is from Ensembl.